UGCCAGCAGCCGCGGUAAUACGAAGGUCCCAAGCGUUGUUCGGAAUCACUGGGCGUAAAGCGUGUGUAGGCUGCGCGGAAAGUCAAAUGUGAAAGCCCGGGGCUCAACCUCGGAACUGCAUUCGAUACUCCCGUGCUAGAGCAAUGGAGAGGUAAGUGGAAUUCCUGGUGUAGCAGUGAAAUGCGUGGAUAUCAGGAGGAACAUCAAUGGCGAAGGCGGCCUCCUGGAUCUGUACUGACACUGAGGUGCGAAAGCGUGGGUAGCGAACAGGAUUAGAUA
This 279-nucleotide ribosomal RNA is filed under the name uncultured bacterium. RNAcentral describes it as "partial 16S ribosomal RNA". It matches the Rfam family "Bacterial small subunit ribosomal RNA", at positions 506 to 784 of the family's 1533-position model. The record is from RNAcentral.